This 447-nucleotide ribosomal RNA is filed under the name uncultured bacterium. RNAcentral describes it as "partial 16S ribosomal RNA". It matches the Rfam family "Bacterial small subunit ribosomal RNA", at positions 29 to 523 of the family's 1533-position model. The record is from RNAcentral.
AACGAACGCUGGCGGCAGGCCUAACACAUGCAAGUCGAACGCCCCGCAAGGGGAGUGGCAGACGGGUGAGUAACGCGUGGGAACCUACCUUUCGGUGCGGAAUAACUUCGGGAAACCAAAGCUAAUACCGCAUACGCCCUACGGGGGAAAGAUUUAUCGCCGAUGGAUGGGCCCGCGUCGGAUUAGCUAGUUGGUGAGGUAACGGCUCACCAAGGCUACGAUCCGUAGCUGGUCUGAGAGGAUGAUCAGCCACACUGGGACUGAGACACGGCCCAGACUCCUACGGGAGGCAGCAGUGGGGAAUAUUGGACAAUGGGCGCAAGCCUGAUCCAGCCAUGCCGCGUGAGUGAAGAAGGCCUUAGGGUUGUAAAGCUCUUUUAGUGGGGACGAUAAUGACGGUACCCACAGAAUAAGCCCCGGCUAACUUCGUGCCAGCCGCCGCGGUAA